Molecule: unclassified non-coding RNA, 1409 nt
Filed under: uncultured Neocallimastigales
Lineage: Eukaryota; Fungi; Neocallimastigomycota; Neocallimastigomycetes; Neocallimastigales
Description: partial contains small subunit ribosomal RNA, internal transcribed spacer 1, 5.8S ribosomal RNA, internal transcribed spacer 2, and large subunit ribosomal RNA
Rfam family: Eukaryotic large subunit ribosomal RNA (bases 636-1409)
Source: RNAcentral
UGGAAGUAAAAGUCGUAACAAGGUUUCCGUAGGUGAACCUGCGGAAGGAUCAUUAAAAAAUGUGGUACCAUUAUUGGUACUAAUUAAUCAUCCUACCCUUUGUGAAUUUGUUUGUAUGAAUUUUUUUAAAUGGGUCUUUCCCUAAGUUGGAUUGUUAGUAAAAUACAAAAAGACUUAGGGGAAUGACUUUUUUAAAAGACUUUUUUUUUAAUUAAAACUUUUUGUAUUCAUUUGUCUAAAAUUUAUUUUUAUAAUAUAAAAACAACUUUUGACAAUGGAUCUCUUGGUUCUCGCAACGAUGAAGAACGCAGCAAAAUGCGAUAAGUAGUGUGAAUUGCAGAAUACGUGAAUCAUCGAAUCUUCGAACGCAUAUUGCACUUUUUUAGUUUACUAAAAAAGUAUGUCUGUUUGAGUAUCAGUAAAAUAUUCUCACAAACAUAUAUUGUUUGUGGUUAUGAGUGUUUUACAACGAUAAACAAGUUGUUUCACUUUAAAUUCUUUUUAAUUGAAUUUUUACCAAUUCAUAAAUUAAAAUUGGAUAAAAUUUUCCUUUAACCGAGAAAUAACCUAAACAAUUUUAAAUUUUAUGGAUUAAUAAACAUUCAUCAAAGGAAUCUAAUUAUACAUAAAUAACUUGAUCUCAAAUCAGAUAUGAGUACCCGCUGAGCUUAAGCAUAUCAAUAAGCGGAGGAAAAGAAACUAACAAGGAUUCCCUUAGUAACGGCGAGUGAAGCGGGAAGAGCUCAAAUUUGAAAUCUUCAAGGUUUGACCUUGACGAAUUGUAGUUUAUAGAAGUGUUUUCUGUUGGAGUUUUGGUAAAAGUUCUUUGGAAUAGGACAUCAUAGAGGGUGAGAAUCCCGUAUUUGACCAUGACUUUCCAGCUGUGUGAUACACUUUCAAAGAGUCGGAUUGUUUGGGAAUGCAGUCCAAAAUGGGUGGUAAAUUUCAUCUAAAGCUAAAUAUUGGCGAGAGACCGAUAGCGAACAAGUACCGUGAGGGAAAGAUGAAAAGAACUUUGAAAAGAGAGUUAAACAGUACGUGAAAUUGUCAAAAGGGAAGCGUUUGACACCAGUGUUGUUUUCUCGAAAAUCAAUUUAAUGAGUUCUUGUUUUUAAGUUAUUGUGACUUUAUCAGCGCAUUUCUUAUUUUACUUGACUCAUUGAAUGCACUUUUCGUUUAACAAGUCAACAUCAAUUUCUUUGGUGGUAAAAAGUUUAAAGGAAGGUGGCUUGGACUUCGGUUCAAGUGUUUAUAGCCUUUUUUCUAUGCCAUCGGAGAGAUUGAGGUCUGCAGCGUAGAUCCUUCGGGGUUAGAUACCUUUGUGCUAAGUUAUAGUUUUUUAUAGACAACUUGUUGACUAUAAUUAACCCUGUAAUUUACUCGCUUAGGCUAUUUUACCUACGCUUAGG